AAAAAUAAAAAAUAAUUAAAAUUUAUGUCUAUUUUAGUCAUUAUAUAAUAAAACUGUACUUUCGUAAUAUAAUUUACCAAACGCAUAUACAUUACUUUUUAAACUCACAACAAUUGCAAUAGUGUAGUUCACCAAACACCAAGCUACUUUUUUAAUCAGUAUCUUAUUUUAUUUGCAUAAUACAAGCAGCCUAUUUUAUUAACCUCCGCAAUCCGAAACUGGCCCUUAAAUUCUAUUAGGAGUCUGAAUAAAUAUAUUUACAACAUAGCCUUAAGUUAAAGUCUAGCGAUCAUACCUUGUGGGGUAGUAAUUGGUACAACCUAUUUAAUGGCCAUAAAUAUUUUAUUUAAUUAUGUAAGUUCUUUUUAAAAAAUUUCCUAGUGUUUGGUUUAUUUUGAGUAGAGAUUUUAAGAAUUAAAUAAGUUAUUAUGUCGCUACUAGCAAUAACUCAAAUUUUGAGCUUUUGGAAGUAGACAUUAGAGUGCUUUUUUAAAAGUUAAAUCACCUAAAAUACUCUAUUAUUUAUUUCACAAUAUUAUGUCGUUCCUUAUAUAUAUAGCUCUCAUCAACAACCAAACAACUAUAAUUUUUUGAGUAAAAACUCUAUUUAAAUAAGCUUUAUUUAAAAUGAUGUACCAAAUGGAGCCUUGGUAAUUCUAUUUUUAAUUCAUCAAAAGACUAUAUUAAUUGUCUUUCCAUAUUCAUUCACUUACUAUAAAUUUUAUUGACUCUAAUUGUAUUUGUGAUUCUCUUUGUGCUUAUUUAAUAUUUUCUAUAUCAAGCUUUAAAGUUUCUACUUAGAAGGCGUAUGUACUCUAAUAUCUUCCUUGUGAAAUUGACACAUACAAGUGAAAAAAUAAUUUGAGUCUUGUAAUUUUAUGUGCAAUACUAUAAAUUGCAAUAGGCAUAAAUCUAAGCGUUGUUUAUCUUUUUCCCCUUUUUUUAACAACUAUUCACUAAAACCAAAUUCUAAAGAUAAUGGGUGCGUUUGGGAUCGAGGUGCUGUAGCUUUUAAGCUACAGCUGCUGUGAAAAAAAAGCUGUAAUUAUGAAACAAAAGUUAAUAAUAUAUAGUAAAUAUAAAUUUUAAAUAAUAAUUUUGAUAAAAUUAUUAAAGAUAUAAUAAAUUUUGUAUUAUAUAAGUGAAAAAUCAUAUCAAUAUAGCUUAAAAGCUACAGCAGUUAGUGUUUACCAAACACUUUAGUGCUAUAGCUUUUAAGCUACAGCUGCCCAACCUCAAUCCCAAACGCACCCAAUAUAUAAGUCCGCAGAUCAUUUUUCUCCUUUUUAUUAUCAAUUUUAAUUUUCAAUUGUUCGACUUGAUAUAUUAUAAAAUCGAUAUUUGUUUUAUGACAGCUGCUACCUUGGAUAAACUUUAAGAUAGAGCAGCGCUCAAAAUUAUUGGAUUUAUGUGCUUGACUUUAAAAUAAUUGUGACUACGUGUAUCUAACGCUUCUAAGCACUGCUCUACCUUGGAUCAACUCCAAGGUAGCUGAACACUUAUUUUAUUCUUAAGAUUGAAAUCUCUUUAUUUUAUUUUAUUUUUAAUCUUAAUUUCCUUGUACAAACAUGAAAACGUUCAACACAGUGAAAAAAUAACGAGAUGUGUAUAUCCAUUGACGAACACUCUUCUCCAUAAUUGUAACCACGUAUAUCUAACAGUUCUAAGCACUGUUCUAUCUUGAAUCAGUUCCAAGGUAGCCGAACCCUUGUUUUAUUGUUGAGAUUGAAAUCUCUUUAUUUUAUUUUCUUUUAGCCUUAAUUUUCCUGUACAAAAAUGAAAACGUUCAACACAUUGAAAAAAAUCACGCGAUGUGUUUAUCCAUUGACGAACGCUCUUCCCCGUAAUUUCUUGUUGCCUAGAUGAUUUGUAUUUUAGUGCCCUUUAUCACAUGGGGUUAUCUUUUUUCACUGCUUGUCUUCUUAACGGGGAGUAAUCGUACGAGCACUCAUUAAAACGACACCGCGUAAUGCCAAAACGGUACAGUAAGUCCAUAAUAAAUAUCACCUCCGCACCCCAUGUGGUUGAGUGGCCAACGUGGACCAAAUCAACGUCAAAUUCAAAAUCACACGCUAAAAAAAAUUUGUUUUUAUAUCAUGAUGAUGAUGGCAUCUCCACGAUGAAAGGAAUAAAUAAAUGAGAACACGACACCACCAAUGGCCAAUCAGGAUAAAGCAAUUCUUCUUCUUCUUUCUUCUCCAGUCUUGACUACAGACAAUCGAGGGCACUCAUCGUGGGGUACCAUGCGCCACGUGGUGCCCCAUGAUUCCCUCCAAUGCGCGGGCCCCGUCUUUUUGGUAGCGUUCAAUGCUUGAGACUUUUUCUGCAAUCUGACUGUUGACGCGUCAGGAGUAGGUACGCCUCGGCUUUUGUUUGGUACAGAGAUUGUUGAAUUCCAUGAAGGGAUAGGGAUAGGGAUAGGGAUAAAGAUACGGAUAUCCGACGUAGCCUGGUAUUGCACGCCCAAUAAUAUGCUCUCAUCAAGGCGGAAGCGUUGCUCCGGAAUUUAAAUUGCUCGUAGCUCAUUGGUAGAUCCAUGGACUCAAGAUUUGUGCAUUUAUUUAAGAGCACGUGUCCAACUCCCAACAAAUUCAAGUCUCCUUCCAAUGAAAUUGUAUAAAAAUAAAAAUUGUCUUUUUAUAAUUCGGAUAGAUAUUCCUUCAGUAUCACGUGAGUUUAAAAAUUCGGAUUGUAUUUAAUAAAAUUAUUAAAUAUAAUUAUAAUAGAUUUUUCAUAUUUAUUCGUGGAAUUUUGAUUAUAAUAUAUGAAUGUAUCAAAGAAAAAUUCUCCUAUUUAUUGAAACUCUUGUUAUGCAUAUUUGUUACUAAUAUAGAACGACAAAUUCGUUAUAAAAGUAAUAAAUUAUUUUGUUCAAACUGACAAUAGUGGUUGGAUGAUAACAUCGUAUAAUUAAGCUGAUUUUUCAAUUGUUAACCAUUUACAAAUAUUGUUUGAAUUAAAAUAUAUCGAGAUUUUAGAUAUAUAUACUAUAUAGUAGUAUAACCAUAAGUUUUUUGAAAUUCACUAUUAUUGAUAUUUGAUGAAAUAUCUAUCAUAAGCAAUAGAUAUUUGAUAUCCAUGAGCAAUAGAUAUUUGAUAUUUGAUGAAAUAUCUAUCAUGAGCAAUAGAUAGUUGAUAUCCAAAAGCAAUAGUUUGAAAUUCACUGUUAUUGAUAUUUGAUGAAAAAUCUAUCAUUAUUCAAAAGGAAUGAUCCGUAUAGGAUUAGAACUCAUGUCCUUAAACAUAUCCCAAGGGUAUGGAUGUAACUUGCAUCAGUGGCGGAGCCACCAAGGACUUGGCUAAAGAAUUCUAGAAGAUAAGUUCUAUUAUUCAGUUGAAAUUAGAAACUUUGCUUUUGUAGGAUGAUGGGCUUGAAGUAUUUUAUAUGGUUUUAGAUGCCCGGCUUCAAGACGUUAAUAAACCAUGACGUGGACAACUACGGACGUAUCAAAUAUUGACAUGAAAAUGUUACAGUAAAAAUCUUUUAAUAUUUUUAUACGUUUUAUUCCUUAUUUGCAUUUUAUAUUGUUAAAAAAAUGUUACUCUCGUAAAUCCAAUAUUUUUCUUUUUUGAUAUGCCACUAGCUCACGUGAUUUAUUUUCAUAUGUUUUAUAUUUUUCAUUCAACAUUUUAAUUUGUUUAAAAAUAUUGUACCCAAAGAAUUUCUAACUCUAACAUCGCUCUUUUAUUAAUCGUAUUGAAACAAAGAGUUUGGCUUUUAAUUUUGUUCAAUAAUUUAUGGGGGCUAAGUUUAAUACGAGAGGUUUAAUCUCUCUCCCAUCAACAUAAAUAAGAUUUGUUCAAUAUGGUUGUGUUUGGUAUGCAGAAUUAGUUUGAUCUAAAUACUAUGAUCAGAUUGGAUUAGAUUCGAUUAGAUUGAACAACGUUAAAUUAUAUUUAAAUAAAACACUAUUUAUGAAUAUUUAAGAGUAAUAAUUAAAAUUAAUUUAAAGGUAAUUAAUAAGAACAUUAAAUAUAUGGUAUAUUAGUUAUUAGGUAAUCAUAGUUAUAAUAAACAAGGAUACAUUAAUAAAACUAUUUAAUUAAUGUUUGAUAUGAUAUUUUAGAUAUAUUUAAUAUUGUCAAA
This 4087-nucleotide long non-coding RNA is filed under the name Citrus x clementina. Its description in RNAcentral is "Citrus clementina (C. clementina) long non-coding RNA (CCLE_LNC000766)". The record is from RNAcentral. Lineage: Eukaryota; Viridiplantae; Streptophyta; Magnoliopsida; Sapindales; Rutaceae.